This 392-nucleotide unclassified non-coding RNA is filed under the name Hevea brasiliensis (rubber tree). Lineage: Eukaryota; Viridiplantae; Streptophyta; Magnoliopsida; Malpighiales; Euphorbiaceae. The record is from RNAcentral.
UGAAAACAUAAGUUAAAUAAUUAGUCCAAUCAUGCAACUUAGGCAAGAGAAUAUUCUGAUAGGGCAGCAUGUCCAUGUGUCUAGUCAUUAACCUAUCUGGUUUUAGGGUUGUUGUGUACUAUUUUUUCAACUGUAUUUAAAAAUAAUUUUACACCCUUACUACAAUUUCAAAUGGGUACUAAAAAGUUUUUUAUGAUUAUUUUGUUGAUAUAAAAGGUGAUGCUGGCUCUUGAGUUCAUGAGGCUACCAAGGAAUGCCUCGAGGCAUGUCCAUAUAUCUUCUGCUUAAUGGUUCCACUAGAAAAACCAUCGGAGUUGAGUUUAUGUUAGAGAUGCUUGGACCUGUGAAUGACCAAAUACUCUUAUUUAUUUUAUGCAAAUGUUGUUCAUUUA